AGUGAACGCUGGCGGUAGGCCUAACACAUGCAAGUCGAACGGCAGCACAGUAAGAGCUUGCUCUUACGGGUGGCGAGUGGCGGACGGGUGAGGAAUACAUCGGAAUCUACUUUUUCGUGGGGGAUAACGUAGGCAAACUUACGCUAAUACCGCAUACGACCUACGGGUGAAAGCAGGGGAUCUUCGGACCUUGCGCGAUUGAAUGAGCCGAUGUCGGAUUAGCUAGUUGGCGGGGUAAAGGCCCACCAAGGCGACGAUCCGUAGCUGGUCUGAGAGGAUGAUCAGCCACACUGGAACUGAGACACGGUCCAGACUCCUACGGGAGGCAGCAGUGGGGAAUAUUGGACAAUGGGCGCAAGCCUGAUCCAGCCAUACCGCGUGAGUGAAGAAGGCCUUCGGGUUGUAAAGCCCUUUUGUUGGGAAAGAAAAGCAGCAGGUUAAUACCCCGCUGUUCUGACGGUACCCAAAGAAUAAGCACCGGCUAACUUCGUG
This 492-nucleotide ribosomal RNA is filed under the name uncultured bacterium. RNAcentral's name for it is "partial 16S ribosomal RNA". It matches the Rfam family "Bacterial small subunit ribosomal RNA", at positions 29 to 507 of the family's 1533-position model. The record is from RNAcentral.